GUGCUUGCUUUGGCAGCACAUACACUAAAAUUGAAAUGAUACAGAGAAGACUAGCAUGGCCCUUUAACAAGGAUGACACGCAAAAUGUACAAAUUUCAU
This is a small nuclear RNA of Vulpes vulpes (red fox), 99 nucleotides long. NCBI's taxonomy places the organism in Eukaryota, Metazoa, Chordata, Mammalia, Carnivora, Canidae. The record is from Ensembl.